CAGCAGCCGCGGUAAUACGUAGGUGGCAAGCGUUGUCCGGAAUUAUUGGGCGUAAAGGGCUCGCAGGCGGUUUCUUAAGUCUGAUGUGAAAGCCCCCGGCUCAACCGGGGAGGGUCAUUGGAAACUGGGAAACUUGAGUGCAGAAGAGGAGAGUGGAAUUCCACGUGUAGCGGUGGAAUGCGUAGAGAUGUGGAGGAACACCAGUGGCGAAGGCGACUCUCUGGUCUGUAACUGACGCUGAGGAGCGAAAGCGUGGGGAGCGAACAGGAUUAGAGACCCGAGUAGUCCCUGUCUCUUAUAC
This 301-nucleotide ribosomal RNA is filed under the name uncultured bacterium. RNAcentral describes it as "partial 16S ribosomal RNA". It matches the Rfam family "Bacterial small subunit ribosomal RNA", at positions 509 to 807 of the family's 1533-position model. The record is from RNAcentral.